This 216-nucleotide ribosomal RNA is filed under the name Glomeromycotina sp. RNAcentral describes it as "partial small subunit ribosomal RNA". The stretch from base 87 to 216 matches the Rfam family "Eukaryotic small subunit ribosomal RNA", at positions 733 to 864 of the family's 1831-position model. The record is from RNAcentral. Lineage: Eukaryota; Fungi; Glomeromycota.
GGGUCAGUAGGUUGGUCGUGCCACCGGUACGUACUGGUCUCACUGAUUCCUCCUUCCUGAAGAACCGUAAUGCCAAUAAUUAGGUGUUGCGGGGAAACAGGACUGUUACUUUGAAAAAAUUAGAGUGUUUAAAGCAAGCUAACGCUUGAAUACAUUAGCAUGGAAUAAUGAAAUAGGACGAUCGAUCCUAUUUUGUUGGUUUCUAGGAUUGACGUA